UAGGGAAUCUUCGGCAAUGGGGGCAACCCUGACCGAGCAACGCCGCGUGAGUGAAGAAGGUUUUCGGAUCGUAAAGCUCUGUUGUAAGAGAAGAACGUGUGUGAGAGUGGAAAGUUCACACAGUGACGGUAACUUACCAGAAAGGGACGGCUAACUACGUGCCAC
This 165-nucleotide ribosomal RNA is filed under the name uncultured bacterium. Its description in RNAcentral is "partial 16S rRNA". It matches the Rfam family "Bacterial small subunit ribosomal RNA", at positions 355 to 511 of the family's 1533-position model. The record is from RNAcentral.